ACACUUACCUGGAUGAUGUCAAUGGGCGAUCAAAAAGGUCCAUGGCCUAGGUUGGUGACCUUCAUUGCACUCUGGAGGGGUGCCCACCUAAGGUCGGCCCAAGUGGUCGAGCCUACGUCAUAAUUUGUGGCAGCUGGAGCCUGUGUUCGCGCGGCCCCUGC
RNAcentral lists this small nuclear RNA (161 nucleotides) under Helianthus annuus (common sunflower). RNAcentral describes it as "U1 spliceosomal RNA". It matches the Rfam family "U1 spliceosomal RNA". Rfam says of the family: U1 is a small nuclear RNA (snRNA) component of the spliceosome (involved in pre-mRNA splicing). Its 5' end forms complementary base pairs with the 5' splice junction, thus defining the 5' donor site of an intron. Lineage: Eukaryota; Viridiplantae; Streptophyta; Magnoliopsida; Asterales; Asteraceae. The record is from RNAcentral.